GAUGAACGCUGGCGGCGUGCCUAAUACAUGCAAGUCGAGCGAACAGAUGAGGAGCUUGCUGCUCUGACGUUAGCGGAGCACGGGAGAGUAACACGUGGAUAACCCACCUAUAAGACUGGGAUAACUUCGGGAAACCGGAGCUAAUACGGGAUAAUAUAUUGAACCGUGUGGGUCAAUAGUGAAAGACGGCUUUGCUGUCACUACUAGAUGGAUAUGAGCCGGAUUAGCUAGUAGGUAAGGUAAAGGGUUACCAAGGGUACGAUGCGUAGCCGACCGAAGGGAGGGGUCGGCCACACUGGAAGGGAGCCAGGGACCAUACGACUACGGUAGGGAGCAGUAGGGAAUCUGCCGCAAUAGGCGAAAGUCUUACGGAGCAGCGCCACGUGUGUGAUAGAGGUCUUGGGAUCGUAAAACUCUGUUAUGGGGUAUGAACAAAUUUGUAAGUUACUAUGCACGUCGUGACGGUACCUGAUCAGGAAGCCACGGCUAACUACGUG
RNAcentral lists this ribosomal RNA (497 nucleotides) under uncultured bacterium. Its description in RNAcentral is "partial 16S ribosomal RNA". It matches the Rfam family "Bacterial small subunit ribosomal RNA", at positions 28 to 507 of the family's 1533-position model. The record is from RNAcentral.